This 495-nucleotide ribosomal RNA is filed under the name uncultured bacterium. RNAcentral's name for it is "bacterial SSU rRNA". It matches the Rfam family "Bacterial small subunit ribosomal RNA", at positions 28 to 511 of the family's 1533-position model. The record is from RNAcentral.
GAUGAACGCUAGCGGCAGGCUUAACACAUGCAAGUCGAGGGGCAGCAUAAUGAAGUAGCAAUACUGAUUUGAUGGCGACCGGCGCACGGGUGCGUAACGCGUAUGCAACCUACCCAUAACAGGGGGAUAACACUGAGAAAUUGGUACUAAUACCCCAUAACACUUUGGAAGGCAUCUUCUGGAGUUGAAAGUUCAGGCGGUUAUGGAUGGGCAUGCGUUGUAUUAGCUAGAUGGCGGGGUAACGGCCCACCUAGGCUACGAUGCAUAGGGGUUCUGAGAGGAAGGUCCCCCACACUGGUACUGAGACACGGACCGGACUCCUACGGGAGGCAGCAGUGAGGAAUAUUGGUCAAUGGUCGAGAGACUGAACCAGCCAAGUCGCGUGAAGGAAGACGGUUUUAUGGAUUGUAAACUUCUUUAGUCGGGGAGCAAAAAGAGUGACGUGUGGGAUGAUGAGAGUACCUUACGAAUAAGCAUCGGCUAACUCCGUGCCAG